Fukomys damarensis (Damara mole-rat) is the source of this 1462-nucleotide long non-coding RNA. RefSeq lists it as uncharacterized. The record is from RefSeq and is a predicted model, not a curated record. NCBI's taxonomy places the organism in Eukaryota, Metazoa, Chordata, Mammalia, Rodentia, Bathyergidae. The transcript is spliced from 4 exons.
CCCGCUUCUCACCAGGAAAUCUGCACUCCCUUCCAGGCCCUGGAUGGUUCCUGGGCGCCCCUGGAAGAGACAUACGAAGAUGGAAUCCAAUCUGGCCCUUCCCCACCCCAAACCCCUUCCCUAGGAGCACAUGGCCACGUGGGACAUCUGAGGACACUCACCGGUUUCCCAGGAGGUCCUGGGGGCCCUGCUGGCCCUUGUGGUCCUGAAUCUCCCUGGAAGCAAGAGCCCAGUCAUUGCACCAUCCAGCCCAGCCCCUAAUAUCUCUGCCCCUCCUCCAUCCUACCACCGCCCUACCCACUGGACCCCCCAAGACACUUCCUGUGAGUCACCAGUGUGGGGAAAUGGGGAGGGGACUGGCAGGAGAUGGUGCCAGCCCUCAGACUCCCCGAAAAGGAGGGUGGGCUCAGCAGGACAGAUUUCCGUGUCAGACCUGGGGAGGUCCCCUCUGGCCAGCAGCAGGCUCAGAAACUCCUGAAGAGCCCACUCCAGCUCGCCAGCCUGGAGGCAGAGGGCAGGAGGCAGGGUGAGUAGACAAGGCUGGGGCUCACCUUGGGCCCUGGGAUUCCGAUCUCACCAGGGAGACCAACAGGUCCAGGUUGCCCCUGGGAAGCAGAGACUUGGAUGUCCAGGAUGCCUCAGGGAGUCAGUCCAGCCAGGACAGGAAGGUCUGGGACACUGCCCUAUCACUGAGGACUUACAGGAGGUCCAGCGAAACCAGGACCCUACAACAGAAGAAAAGGAAAUUAGGUUCACAGCUCCCUCUACCUGUCCUCCCUACCUGUGGGAGAUGUCUCAGAGCCUGCACAGGUGGUACUCACCGGCAGGCCAGGGGGACCUGGGAGCCCAGGCUGGCCCUGUAGGGACAAUGGGAGAGACUCAGAGACGGGGGAUCCUGGUCUCUACUGCAGUCCCUCCCAAAGUCGGGUCCUAGAUUACCCACAAAGUCCUCAGCAGGCCACUUGCCUUGACUCCAGGUGUUCCCAUGGGACCAGGCUCUCCCUUGGCUCCAGUUAAACCCUGGGAAGAAAAAGAAGAUGACUGUCACCAUGCCCCUGGGGCUGGAGGCCUUGGGGGCUUCUGGGAGUUCUGUGGUAUCAGCUAAAUAAUGCUCUUCUACUGAGUUGGCGAAAAGAAAAGGGAACACACAAGGACAGCCCUCUCCAGAGAGCGGAAGCCUCUGGACCCCGGUUCCCGUGAUUCAGUGCCCCAGAGGAGGGUGUGAGGUUCCAGUAAGGUUGCAAGUCAUGUGAAACUACGGGGGCUCACAGCUGGGCAGUCUCCACCCUGAACAGGUAUGGAAGGAAGCCAGACCAGGCUUCAGUCAGUAGCUGGGGCCCUCCCCUGUUCGGUGCAGGCACUCACAUCAAUCCCUGGCUUCCCAUCCGGCCCAUCUGGCCCUGGUCUGCCAGGCUCUCCCUUGAGCCCCUUGAAAACAGAAGUGGAGCAAAUAUUAGCCAGA